This 5348-nucleotide transfer RNA is filed under the name Sus scrofa (pig). RNAcentral's name for it is "lncRNA (ENSSSCG00000062055.1)". Lineage: Eukaryota; Metazoa; Chordata; Mammalia; Artiodactyla; Suidae. The record is from RNAcentral.
UUCUCUUCUUUCUUUCUUUUCUCUCUCUCUCUCUCUCUCUCUUUCUUUCUUUCUUUCUUUCUUUUCUCUCUUUCUUUCUUUCUUUCUCUCUCUCUCUCUCUCUCUCUCUCUCUCUUUCUUUCUUUCUCCACUGCACGGGAGCAUAUGGAAAUUCCCAGACCAGGGAUCAAAUCCGAGCCACAGCUGUGACCUGAGCCACAGUUGUGCUAAUACCAGAUCCUUAACGUUCCGCACUACAGUGGGAACUCCGGACUUUAUUUGAUGAAUUUAUUUUACUGUUCAGUGGAGUAAUAACUUAUAAAAUGAGAGGGUGGAGUAACCACACUCACAAACACUCCAGCUUUUUACCAGCUUCAUCCCUCUUGCACUUACUCCUCACCUCCUGUUUCACAGGAACUUGUAAAAUUGGCCUUCCCAAAGAACUUCAUCAUAGGAGGAAUCCCCCUUAGGUGGUAUAGACAAUCAUUACCAUCAACUGUAGGGAUAAUAGUUCAGAGUACAGGAGGGAGGACCACUUUCUCCUAAAUGGGGAUCAUGAAAUACAGUGUAUCUGUGUGAACAUCCUGUUUUAAAAGGCCAGCACCGACGAGGGUGGGAUUCGAACCCACGCGUGCAGAGCACAAUGGAUUAGCAGUCCAUCGCCUUAACCACUCGGCCACCUCGUCUGCAGAUGCACUCACCUUUUGCAACAUUGUACUUCAAAGUUUAUACUCGGAAACUCGCUACCUUAGAAAAAUGCUUAGGAAGGAGGUGGCUUGGCGACAUCUAGGAGACCUGGAGGUGGCUAUCUUCCACAUGACUGGACAAAGAACCGGAGUGGAAAACCUGUGACUGGGAGAAAAACGGACGUAGCUUUCACAAGAGUCAUAAAAAUAGUUGAGAGGUGGUAGGAACAUGAUUGCCUGGAUUUUCACUUCCUUUCCCUGGCGGCCUGGUACCAGCAGGAGGCGCUUCAGCGCCAAGUCUGGGCAGGCGGUGGGCGUGACUCGGCCAACCCGGGCUGAGCCAGAAUUUGUAGUCACCCUCCUGCCUCGGGGGAACCAGGUCCCGCCCCAGAAAGCGCUGGAAAUCAGCAGGAGCAGAGGUUCCUUUAGCCGGUCCCACUGGAGUCGACCUCUGGGGAGCUGGAGAACCUGGACUCCUAAUUCGUGGUUAAUAAAAUACUCUGGAGAAUUAGACGAUGGAUCUGAGUAGGGCUCAAUUUCCAUUCAGUGUUACAGCCGCUUCUUCAGUAAUUUAGGGUGAAAUUGCAUAGAGAAGAAUCCUUAAUUCUUGGGGCUCUCUCUUCCCGGGUCAUCAGCAUCCGAGGAAUCAUGAAUUCCGUUUUCCUUCCAAAUACCUGUGUGUUUCUUGAGUGGUUUUCUGGGGGCAAUGUUUCCCAACUUCCACUCGAUUUUCCAAACAAUGAUAAAAGCCAGACUUGGCUCUAGUGAGAAAAUGACUUGGGGAAAGGGUGAAAAAAACUAUUUUAGCAGCCUUUUUUUUGGGAGGGGGAUUGAUUGGUUUGUUUGUUUCAUGGAAGGAAUAAAACGCACAUGAAUGAACAGGAGUAGGGACUAAUUCUGACUAAUCAUAAUGAGUCAUAAAGGCCUGAGGAAAGAAGGUGAGUCUUGACGAGCAAACUUUCUAGAGGUGCGAAAUUUUCUAGAGGUGUACCAGACUGAGGAAAAGGACGUGAUCAAAGGCGAAGAGUAUCUAGAGAACCGUUGGAAAUCUCUGUGGCUGGAAUGCUGAAGCAUGUGAGUGGCUGAUAGGAAAUAUCCAUAAAUCUGAGAAUGAAAGACGGUCGUGAAGAUUUUUCUUUUGAAGCCCAAGCAAAUCAAUCAUAGGAUGAACAGCAGGAAACACGGGGAAAAUCCUGUGGGAACAGAUCCCUGCUGCAUUUUCACACGCUUAGUGUGAGGACACUACCUUAGGUUGUAGUAACAUCUUCUUGGGUGAAGACCACACUUUGCUUGUCCCAAAUAAUCUCUCUUCUUACUUAGUGUCGCUUCAUUGUCCUGCCUGGAUCUUUUCAAUCUCAUUUCCCUUCUUGUUUUCCAUGCUCAGUCCAAUUCAUGAUUUUGUAUCAAGAUGGAUCAGUUUCCCCUCUCUUCCAACAAGCCAUUUUCCCUCAUGGAGUACUCUUGCCCUUUUUCAUAUUAAUCUGGAUAAACUUUUUAUUCAUACUUGGUUCUCAGUUAAAGCUUAUGUUUUUAAGUAAAAAAUGUAAAUCAAAAUUAACCUCUUUUCAAAAUAUCAAGUAAUUCAGAAACAUGUAUUGUAAAGAAGUGGUCCUCUUUCUCCUAUUGUAUUCCCCAUUGGUAGAGGCAAAGAUUUUCAGACAUUUGGCCUUUUGUUUGUGUUGCCAUUUCUGUUUUACCAGCAUGUCUCCCAAUAUCAUGCUAUGGCAGAGAUGGCUAGUUCUGCAUCAAUAUUUAUUCUUUCCUUCCAAGAAAUGGAAAUUUAGUAAAGUUCACAUUACCUAUGGGAUUACAAUGUACAACUUUCUUUGAUGCUAAGCAUGGUCACUGGACCAAUUUCUAAAUGAGGGCAUUAGAGAGAAAGUGUAUGUAAAGCUUUCUUUCAGGAUAUAUUCAGGAGAGGAAAGAAAUACCAUCCACUUCUCUCUUCCUUCUGUAUCUGCUUGCUGGAAGAGGCAACUUCAUAGGAAUGAAGGUGUCAUGAAACAUAAAGAGUUUGGACCCAGCAUCCCAUAGGAAGGAGAAGCCAUGAGAGAGAAAACCAGAACCAACACCAUGGAGCCAAAGUGUCACCCUGGGAUUGAUUAGAGCUUCAGAUUGUUGCAUGAGAGAUCAAUACAUUUGUUUCCUUUAAGGUACAAUUCAUUGGGGUCUUUGUUACAAAGACAAAAUUGUAUUCUAAUACAUAGGCUUUCAUUUCUGCUUUUUAAACUUUUUUAAGUUUAGUAUUUUUAUUGAUUACCCUCUACACAAAAAGGAGAUUCACUUUUUUUUUUUUUUUGUCUUUUGUGUUUUUAGGGUUGCACCUGCUUCGUAUGGAGGUUUCCAGCUUAGGGCUCAAAUUGGAGAUGUGUAGCCACAGCUUACGCCAGAUCCCUAACCCACUGAGCAAGGCCAGGGAUUGAACCCACAUCCUUAUGAAUACUACUACUAGUCAGAUUUGUUAAGCACUGAGCCACGACGGGAACUCUGAGAUUCACUUUUCUUCACAUUAAAUGCUGCCAUAUAUGGAUACCCUUCCUAUCAAUCUUCCAAAUACAGUUAUAUCAUCAUGUUUACUGAAUUUGUAUUAAUUUUUCAUAUAUUAGGAUUGGCAAAUAUCAUUCACUGAUCUCUCACGGUAUUUUGUUUCUUGAACAUUAGAAUUUUUUUUUCAAGAUACCACAAACAAGCAUGAAAGAUUCACCAGAAAAGGAAAUUGGGUGUUUUCUAUACAGUUGCACCCUGGUGUCUUACUUCACCAUCAUCCUGUACAUUUUCUUCCCUGUCACUGAUAUUGGAAACUCCACUUCCCAAGGUCUUUUACUGCCUUAAUUUGCCUUCUCCUUUUGGUGGAGCACAUUAUAGAGUAGUUUCCUGAGAAAGAAUUCAUUGGAGGUAAGAUUCUUGAAUAUUUGGGUGUUAGUGAGUUUCUCUAACACUUGAUUGAUUACUUGGUUGGGUGUAACAUGUUAGGCCAGGGAAAUUUUCUUUCAGUAUUUUGAAGGAGCUCUCCAUUUUCUUCUAGCUUCCAAUAUUGCUUUGAGAAUUACAAAGUCUUUCGAAUUACUACCUUUCAUUUGUAAUUAGUUUUUCUCUCUUUCAGGAUGACUUCUUUGUCCUCAAUGUUCCAAAAUGUCUGAAAGAUAUGUCUCUGUGUGUUUCUAUUUUCAUUCACUGUUCUGGGAGCUCUAUUAUGUCAUUAGGUUUGAAAAAUCAUAUAUUUGGGUUUGAGAGAUUAGCUUGACUUUUGCGUUAAUUUUCUCAGUUAUGUGUCCUCUAUUCUCUUUUUAUUUUUUUUCCUAGAAUUUCUUCUACUUGGAUUUUUUUAAACCUCCAGGAUAUUUCCUCUACUUAAAAAAAUUAAUCUCUCCAGGUUACAUCCUGUUUAUAUAUAUAUAUUUUUUUUUCUUUUUUUUAAGACUGCACCUGCAGCAUAUAGAAGUUCCCAGGCUAGGAGUCGAACCCGAGCUGCAGCUGCCAGCCUAUGCUGAAGCCACAACAAUGCAAGAUCCGCCGUGUCUGUGACCUACACCACAGCUCAUGGCAAUGCCAGAUCCUUAACCCACUGAGUGAGGCCAGGGAUUGAAACGAAAAGUCAUGGAUACUAGUUGGGUACAUUACCGCUGAGCCACAGUGGGAACUCAUAUGUAUAUAUUUUUAGGGCCACACUGGAGGCACAUGGAAGUUCCCAGGCUAGAGGUCAAGAUGGAGCUGCAGCUGCUGGCCUACACCACAGCCACAGCAACGUGGGAUCUGCCAAGGCAUGUCUGCAACCCACACCACAGCUCAUGGCAACGCUGGAUCCUUAACCCAACUGAGCAAGGCCAGGGACUCAAUCCGCUUUCUCAUGGAUACCAGUGAGGUUCAUUAACCACUGGGCCAUGACGGAAACUCCCCAACAUAUUUUUAAUAGACUUUAUUUUUAAGGCAGUUUUAGGUUAACAGAAAAAUUAAUAGGAAAGUACAGAGUUCACAUAUACUUCCUCCUGAUCCCCACAGCUUCUCCUAUUAUUUAUAUCUUAUAUUAUUUUGGUACAUUUGUUACAACUGACAAAUCAUAGUAACACAUUAUUAUUAACAGGAUUCAUGGGGUUUGACAAAUGUAUAAUGACAUGUGUUCAUCAUUGCUGUAUCAUACAGAAUAGUUACACUGCCCUACACCACCCACACCCUCCAGAACUACUGAUCUUUUAUUGUCUCUAUAGCUUUACCUUUCCCAGAAUGUCAUAUAGUUGGAAUCAUACAGUAUACAGCCUUUUCAAAUUGGCUUCUUUCACUUAGUAAUAUACUUUUAAAUUUCCUUCAUGUCCUUUUGUGGCUUGAUAGCUUAUAUCUUAUUACUGAAUAAUAUUCUAUUGAAUAGCUAUAUCACAGUUUGCUUAUCCAUUCAUUUAUUGAAGGAAAUUUUGGCUGCUUCCAAGUAUUUAUAAUUAUGAAUAAAGCUGCUAUAAAUAUUCAUGCGCAGGUUUUUUUGUACACAUAGGUUUUCAACUUAUUUGAGUAUAUACCAAGGACCAUGAUUGCCGGAAUGUGACUUUAAAAUUUUUCCACAUUCUGGAGGAUGUCCUUUAUAUUUUAUUCCAAUUACUCCAUUAAGCUUUUCAUGUCUAUGCUCACAAUUUCAAUUUUAAGAGACUUCUGCACUUAAGGGUUACCCUUUUGUGCAAUAUUUGCACUUUUUUU